AUGGUGCUCAACGGGUUUGAAGGCAAAGAGAAAACUGAAGCCAAAGGUGUAAUGUAUGUGGAGCUUACAGUCGGAAGCAAAACUUUGGCUACUGCAUUCUUUGUCUCUGAGGUGCAAGGUAACUACAACGUUAUACUAGGCCAUGAUUGGGUUCAUGCAAACCAGUGCGUGCCAUCCACUAUGCACCAGUUUUUGAUUCAGUGGGUUGAUGAUGAAGUGGAAGUCAUUCAUGCGGAUAACUCGGCUUGUGUUGCUUUGGCCGAUGCAUCGGUGGAUUGGCAACAUCCCAAUGCUACUUGCUUGACGGGACGUGACUUAUAA
This 321-nucleotide ribosomal RNA is filed under the name Triticum aestivum (bread wheat). Its description in RNAcentral is "partial small subunit ribosomal RNA". The record is from RNAcentral. Lineage: Eukaryota; Viridiplantae; Streptophyta; Magnoliopsida; Poales; Poaceae.